RNAcentral lists this long non-coding RNA (5754 nucleotides) under Phaseolus vulgaris (common bean). Its description in RNAcentral is "long non-coding RNA (PVUL_LNC003781)". Lineage: Eukaryota; Viridiplantae; Streptophyta; Magnoliopsida; Fabales; Fabaceae. The record is from RNAcentral.
UAAUAUUUUUUAUUAUAUUCAAAAUGCAUGAGUGUUGAGAAUACAUGAGUGUUGUGUUUGUAUAGUCCAACCAAAAUCAAAAGAAAGUAAUGAUGAGAAAACGCACGCGGAAGCAACACACACAAUCACGAAUCAAUUGCAGAAAAAUAAACGACACAAGAUUUAACGUGGUUCGGUCGUCAACUGCAACCUACAUCCACACGGGCAACUAUUAAAUUUUCAUUCUAUCUUGUUGCGCACCAAUUACAAGUACAAUGAUCUCUUUAAGUAGAGAUAAAUAAAGAUAAUAAAAGGGACACAAUGAUUAAGCCCACCCACUAAAACAUGGUGUCUACUCAACCCAACCCAAUUGGUCAUGACUUCAUACCCAACAAGUAAGUGAUUCAAGAAUAUCAAUUACAAUAUCAACACAAAUUUGUCAUCCAUUACAAUAUCAAUAUAUAAUUUAAUUGUGUAAGAAAUUCUUAAUUAAUUUAGAUUAUGUAGUCACCGUCACCACCUUCUGUAUGAAUCAAGAUAAAAAAUAAUUUAAAUAUAUUUUUCUCUUUCUUAAAACUGUAAUAGAGAUCAAAACUUCAAACUAACAAUAUCUAAAAUGUGUUAACUAAAAUCAUUUAAAUGGAUUUGAGAUUGAAAAUAGAGGAUUCGUUCCCUUAUUCCCAAUAAACUUGUCAUUGAAAAAUUCCAAUCAUAAAAAUUUACUAAUCACUCAUAAAAGUUAAGUGAUUGUCAUUCUCAUUCUCUUUCCUAUGUCUAAUUUGCUUCUUGAAAAAAAUCUUGUAAACAUGUUUUUCAUUUAUUUCAUAUAUGUAUAACGUGUUUUUAAUUAAAUAUUUCCCUAAUCAAGAGAUGAGUGGUGUGAAUAAAUGGUUUUGAAGCAUGAGAUUGAGAAUGAAUGGUGAGCAAUUUGAAGCAUGAGUUGAUUGAGGUAAGAGACUAAGUUGAUCCAUGAUUGGGCAAGAGAUGAGAGAGGCUUGGCGUGCCGUAUUCAUUCAAUUCUCUAUCUUGUCUUUUCCACAUAAGGACUCCUUCAUUUCUAUGAGCAUAGCAAGUGAUCAUAACAUGUGGGGAGUGGAACAAAGAGCCACCAUUUUAACAACAAUAAACUUCAAAAGGUAGUGUAGUUGUUAAUUUAAUUGUCCCAUUUAUUUCUUUAUCUAUUACCAUUAUUAUUGCAUCACAAUAAUUUUUCUUUUGGGAGGAGGAUCUAUUUCCAUGGCCCAUUGGAACUUCAAAUGUGUGAUAUCAAUGCCAUAAAGAGUUGGAUGGACAGAGACCACUUUAAUCACUAAACUUAUUGCUACAAAAAGUAUUUGACAAGAACUUAUUUCCUUUUUUUAAUUUUUUAUUUGGGUAGCUGCAUAUUUAAUUGCAAUAUUGUUUAUGUUUUAUAUGAAACCAAAAUCAUUAUUCCAACUCAUUUACAUUUGAAAUUUAAACCAGUUAAACUAUCUCUUUUAAUUGAAUCAUUGAUCAUUUGCAAAAAAAAAAAAAUUACUUAUAACUUUAAAAUAUCACAAAUUAUAUUUCGGUUUAAUAACUCCUUUUCAAUUUCUUUUAUUCUAUGUUUUUAAAAGCUAAUUAGCAUAGUUAGUUCCAUCAAAUUAAUGGUAAUGAACAGUAACACAGACAUGAACAAUAAGAGUCGUGUUAAGUGAGAUGUGAUAUGAAUAAGUGAUAUCUUCAUCUUUUAAAAAAGUGGGAUAAAUUGAUAAUAUUAAAAAAAUAGAGCAAAGUUAAAAAAUAUUAUAAUGAUAAAAAAUCUAAUAAACCCUUAUUUGAGUUAAAUUUGUUGGGUAUCAGAACGAAUUGGGUUGGGCUGAUUAGACACCAUGUUUAGUGAGUGAUUUAAUAUUUUUUCUUUUAUUAUCUUUACUUAAAGAGAUUGCCUGUAUUUUUGUACGCAACAAGAAAUAAAUAAAACUUAAUAAUUGCUCGUGUGGACGUAAAUUGUUGUUAACGAUUGAACCAUGUUAAAUCUUGUGUCAUUUAUUUUUUUUAGUUGAUUCGUGAUUGUGUGUUCUUGUGUUUCUAUUAAAAUUGUUUUGAAAAAGUAUUGAUAAUUUAACCUAAAUUAUACCCUGGAUUCAAAUCUGAUAGAAAGUGUUUUGUAUAGGCAUAGCAAAGUGACAACACGAAAAAGCAGUUUCCACUCUCUUUGUCUCACCAAAACAGGUACUAUUAUGGCUGUUUGGCAACAUCCUUCUACACAUUCUUCACUUUUUUCCCCUAAAAUCUUCAACUGGACCCAUCUUUUUUAUCAACACUAAGACAUUUAAAUUUUAAAUCUUAAAAUUAUAAAUUAAUUUUUAAUCUCACUUAGUCUUGUACUUACUUUGUUUGUUUGGAUUAAAUAAUGGAUGUGAGUGAAAAAGAAAAAAAGGAAAGUAGAAAGUGAGAUGAUUUAGAUGAAGAGAAAUAGGAUGGAAAAUAAAAAUAAGAUUUGUGAAAAAUUGUGAAUUAUUUGAUAGUUAUAAUAAAAUUUAAAAAAUUAUAAAAUAAUCUUUUAGAAAUGUAGAUUAGAAUUAAAAAUUAAUAUUAAAUAUUAAUAAAAAUACAUAUUAAUAAUUCAAUUUAAAUUAAUUUGUUGUUUAUUUAUUUUAUUAUAAUAUAAAAAUAUAUAUUAAUAAUUUAAUAAACAAAUUAUAAAUAUUAUAUAUGUAUAUUAAAACAUAUUUUUUUAUACAUAAUCAACAUAUAUAAUUUAUUAAUUUGUAUAAAAAAAUAACGCAUAAUCAAACUUUUCUUCCAAAUCUCUUCAAAAAUACGAAGAAAAUUUCAGAUAAGUCUCCUAAAGUCUCUUGAAAUUUUUAACAUAACUUCAUAUUUAGGCUAUUAUUCUUUAUGAAUUGUUAAUAUAGUGAUUGACUCUUUCAAUAGAUUUAGAAUAACCUCUGUUCUUAUAACAAUUUAGAAAAUAAACUUUAAAUUUCACAAUUCUAUCAAGAAAAUACCUUAUAAAAUGAGUUCACAUUCAACAAUUAUAUAUUAUAAUUUAAAAAUCAAUAUUUAAAGAAAAAAAAUUAUAAAUAAAACACAUUAUGUAGAAUGUUGUGAUUUAGUCAAUAUUAAUAUUAGGCCAAGUUUGAAUUGGUGGUCACAAUAAGUAUAUGUAUAUAUUUUUCAAUCCCAUAUUGUUUAAUCACUUACACAUCAGAAAAAGUCAAAUUUGAUUAAAGCAUUUUUCUCAUGAGAUAGGCAUAUAUACGUCGCAUCAUAUUAUUAAUUUUAUGUCAUACACGUUUUUUUAAAAUUAAAUUAUAACAAUAUUUCUUAAGAUGUUUUUUAAAUUAGGUUAAAAAUCUCACAUUAAUUAGAUAUAAGAAUAUUUCACUGUAUAUAACUGGGUGCAAAUCUCAUUUCAUGAGCCGAUUUUAUGAAAUUGAAUUAGGCUUAAAGUACAUAUAUUCUAAUUCAAAAUCUCAUUUAAUUAAAACCAAAUACAACUCUUUGGCAUGCUAAUUACUUUUGUGUUUGAUUCAUAGAAUAUAAUUAUUUUUAUUGGUUAUGUAAUAAAAAAUUUAGAAUCAAAUAAUGGUUACUAACGAAGCAAGAGUGACCCAAAACAUGUUUUAUAAUGAACAUAAAUACUAUAUUAUACGCUUUAAUUUUACCAAUAAGAUGUGAUUUGAAAAGGAUAAAUAAUCACUUCUCAUUACGUGAAAGAUCGUAAAGAGGUCAUAAAAAUGAACAUGGCUUACUCAGAUUCUUCAUUUUCAGUAACAUCUUGUUGUGCCAUUAAUUCGGGUGUUGGGGAAGAUGCAUUCAUAAGAAAAUAAUCAUUGAUGAACAAAAGUCAAUGCAUUUUAUUCUUCCUUGAGUGCCUUCAAAAUGGUCACCAAUCCCAACGUCACAAAUAGUACCAUGUAAAUUAUAAUUUUUAUUUUAAUGGGUACACAUUAAAUACAUCUUCUUUAUCUAUCUUGAGUCAUAAUUUCAAAAUUUUAAAUUUUAUAAAAAAAUUCUUUAACAAUUAAAUAAAAUUAUAUUAAGAAGUGAAAUUUAAGUUUAACUCAACUUUAUGUGAAAUUUGCACUUAUGCUCUUAUUUAUAGUCAAUAUAGGAUCUUCAACACACUUCUCUCACGUCGAUGUUGUCAAUUUAUUCAUGCAACUAUAUAUUUACAAAUGGUCCGAUAGUGGAUAACCUCUUAAAUCCAACAAAUUUUCGUUAAGAUAAAUUAUAAUUAUGAUAUCAUAUUAACAACUGAACCUUAACUUAAAUCAACCUUCAAAAAUCGGUUUAUAAGAUAAGAUUUGCUUCCGCUCAUAUAUUAUGAAAUGUUUUUAUCUUUAGUCGAUGUAAAAUCUAACGAAUUAUAAAAUAUUUAUAUUAGACUAAAAAUUGAAAAAAAAAAUCUUAAAAUAAUAUAAUGAAGUGGGAACUAUAGAAAUAAACUAAAACGUGAUGUCACUACUCUUAUAUAAAUCACAAAUCUAUUAUUUAUAAAAAUCUAAUUAUAGUUUAACUUUUAAGUUUUCUAACAUUUAACAAUUUUCUACAAUAUUAAUCUCAUUGUUAGUAGUGAUCUACUUAUACAUAAAUUAAAUGUGUAAUUAAAUUGUUGUAAGAACUAAACAAAAACAAAAAAAAGUGAAUUUAAGUUUUGUUUAUAAGAUUUUGUUGUAUAGAAAGUGUGGCAUGAGAAUGAGACACAUAAUGGUGGUGGUGGCACGCUCCCUAGCAUGCACAAUCCUAUUGAAUCAUUGGGACAAAGAGGCAGAAUAGUAUAUUGCUUAAGCAAUGCUGCAUUGUCUCACCCUUUUUUUCCUUUUUUUCUUUCACUUUUUUCUUCUUCUUCUUCUUCUUUAUAUUCUCUAUGGUAAAUCUCUUGAGUUUGUCGUAAUUUAUAAAUAUUAGGGUAAUCAUGAUGUUUCCUUGGUCUUUGCUCACUAAUUAUUUUGUUGUGUUUGCAAUCAAUUAAGGUAUAAAUGAUUUGGGAUCCUAGUAAUAAAAUACACUUACAUCGAGCCAUCCAACAAAAAAAGUGAAAGAGACCCAAAAAAGAUAAAAGAAAAAAUAAAAUAAAGAAAAGAAAGAGAUUUGUCUAUGUGCUUUCUUUUCAAUCAUAAAUGAUUAAAUGCAAUUAACCUACUAAGUUAUGCCCAUGUUGCCUGUCUGACAUGCACCCUAAUGGGCCCCAUCUUAGUCCUAUAGCUCCUCACUUAUUUAUAAUAAUCUACCAAUUAAUUAACAAUAACAAUAGUAUUUAUUUCAACUUUAAAUUUAUUAAGAUAAUAUAUUAUUAUUGUAUUCGAAGUAUUGUUGAUUUAUAAUUUUUUUUAUGAUAAAUUAAAUUUAUUGAGAUAAAAUAUUCUAUUACAGGAUGGUCGAGAGGCUGAAUAGUCAACAAGGCCGAAUAAAUCUAAGAAUAAACAAUAAAUACAUGAUUGACUGUAAUUAAAACAAUUUAGGUAUAAAUUAUGAUUAAGUCACAAUUGGGUCCUCGUCUGAAAUCCAAGAGCAGACCCAUUAUAAUUGAGACUCAUUCCAAAGUUAUAAAUAUUAGAGAAGACUCAACGUCAAAGGUAAUCUUUCACUCUUAACUAAUCGACAUAUUGUACUCAGACUAACUUGAGCGUCGGAGCACCUUCGCGGAUACCCCACUCCACUUUUUUGUUGAAAAAGGACUUACAAGACGGAAAGACGUGAGAACGAAGCUACAAGAGUCAUUCUGAAAAGGAAAUAUUAUUAUUAUAAUUCAUUGUUUAAUUUGAGAUACUAUACAUUUUCAAAUUAAGCAUUUUUGUGAAG